GCCUUCGUGGUGCAGUGGUCAGCGCACUCGACGCGUAUUAUUCGAGAGGUCCGUGGUUCGAGUCCCGUCGAGGGUA
This 76-nucleotide transfer RNA is filed under the name Stegodyphus mimosarum. It matches the Rfam family "tRNA". From Rfam's summary of the family: Transfer RNA (tRNA) molecules are approximately 80 nucleotides in length. Their secondary structure includes four short double-helical elements and three loops (D, anti-codon, and T loops). Lineage: Eukaryota; Metazoa; Arthropoda; Arachnida; Araneae; Eresidae. The record is from Rfam by way of RNAcentral.